GGCAGCGUAGCUCAGUGGUAGAGCAGGGGAAUCAUAAUCCCUUGGUCGGGUGUUCAAAUCACCCCGCUGCUACCA
Molecule: transfer RNA, 75 nt
Filed under: Alphaproteobacteria bacterium
Lineage: Bacteria; Pseudomonadati; Pseudomonadota; Alphaproteobacteria
Also listed under: 2 other names
Description: tRNA-Met
Rfam family: tRNA
About the family: Transfer RNA (tRNA) molecules are approximately 80 nucleotides in length.
Source: RNAcentral